GUACCCUGUACCCCUCCCGCCGCACAUCGUGAACCCCCUCCGUAUAGAUUUUUCACAGCUGCAGUGAGCAGUCUGCAGUGCAUUUCUGUGUAACCGAUUUCCAUAGCCAUGCAAACAAGUAACCUGUCUUGUGCCCUCGCUAUGUCGCCCCCCUAAAUUAAUUCAGAAUUCACUCUUUCCCGCGUUUACUUCCGAUUCUUUCAAAUGUUCAAGGUACGAUUGGCGGGGUGGCUAAAAAAUGUCAUCUGGAUCCGGAGUGAGGCGAUAUAGCGCCAUGUGGCUGGAGCUGACCAGCCGCCUGACACCAUGCUACGCCUUGGGAACGGCCAUCGUCUGCGGGCACGUGGCUGCCCAACACAGCAGCCCCAUCGCCAUCGUCGCCCUCCCCAUCUCUGCACACACGUGCCUCAUCGCAUGUAUGAAUACCCCGAAAAAACCUCACCAGUUGAAUUACUGGUUAGAGCUUCUCCAUCGGGUGGCCUCCCUCAGUCUGGUCGCCCAGGCCCUGGGCACGACCAUGUCCUACAUGCGCUCCGACGUUUGGAUUGGCAAGAUUCUCAAUACUAAUCUUCCACUAGUGUAUCCUCCUUCAGCCUUAGCCACUCUAUCACUCGGCAUGCUCAGCCUCCUCUACUCUCUGGGUCUUGAAAGAUCGAGUAUCAUGCGAUUGCUGAUGGUAAAGUGUGUCAUUUUGCUGACGGUUUGCUUAGCUUUCACAGCAGUUUUGGUGCCAGAUGCGACAAAUUAUAAAAAUAAUAUUCCAACACAUGCAGCCCAUGAUUGGUCUGAGGUAGUUAGAGUGGGUGCCAUGCUGGUCUGUAGUCUAAUAAGCACAGGCAGGGUGGCAAGUCACGUAGAUACUAUUGAGGGACGUUCUUCUGUCCAUGCUGGGGCGAUCCUAUUGGCCAUCGUCUCCUACACGCUCAUCUGCAUGUCCUUCUCCAUGCUUAUCAACAUUGACCUGAUAUCAACUGAUGAUGUGGCAGUGGUGAAGAUUUUCGAAAUUCGCGGAGAUCAGGGUCUAUUCCUCGUGGUGUACAGCCUUACCGUGUCCAUCCUGACGCUGACCUUCUCGGAACUCAUGUCGCCAGCCGUUCAUAAUGUUGUUGGCAUAUCCUCGCAAAACUACAUGCUCCCGGUGGUCCUGGCUAAGGAGGCCUCCUUUACCUCUACCCAUGUAUACGCUAUUUUUUUCGUCGGUUGCCUAGGUGCCAUUUUGUGCCUUAUAUGUUCUAUGCAAGUGCUGAUAUGCUUGGUCAGCGGCACUUACCUGCUCAAUCAUGUAGUUUGUGUCAUUGCGUCACUAUGGAGAAGAUAUCAGCCGUCCAUCAGUAUUUCCUCUAAUUAUUGCAACGGCCGAGAGGCUGAGUACCGGCCGCUGAGUACGGAAGGAGACCCAGCACCCGGGAACAGUCUAGCGUCACCGCCGGGUUCCCGGACGGAGCUGAGGGGGUUCCCGAGGGAGGAGCCGGGGAGUCCGGGCGAGGAUCAGGACCAACACCAGCUCAUCAGCAUCCACGCGGACUCGGCGACCGACGGGGACAGCCGCGGAUCCGUGACGUCACUCGGCUCCCAGACCCGGUUCCUCCGCGCUGGCCCCGCACCGGACUUCCACCCCCACGACAGCAACGACUCCGGCCACAGCUCCGAGACGGACAUCGACGCCGCCGUCGCCCAGUACAAAGAGAUCCUCCUGAUAGAGUCUGCAACCAAUUUUAGUUCAGCGCGGAUUCCUACCUCAGAGACUUGGAGGAAAGCUGUUGCAAGCAUUACUGGAAUAUUAAUGUGCACCGGAAUUUUGGGUGCAAGCAUACAUUUCUCACUAUUUUUUGUUUUCUUCAUCACGCUCAUAGCAGCAUCUAUUUUUGGCGGGCUUUUGGCAUGCCAACCUCAGCGACCACGCGUCGAAGGGGAAAUAUUGUGCCCUUUCUGGCUGUCCAUAGCAAACAUCAUAUCUUGUGGCAUUUGUUGUGUCAAAUAAUUGCAGAUAUCUUUUGGAUCACCUCUAUAUGGCUACUAAUUGGGGGAGGUCUCUUGUGGAAGAUGAGGCAUAUACGGAGGAGGACGAGAAGGCGUCGUGAGAGAAUCAAGCUCAUAUCGCCGCCGCUCCAUCGGACCGUUAGGACUUUCGUCACCAGACAACGCACAAUCAAUGCAAAUUCCGAGAGCAGCUCUUUACAUCACCAACAAUUAAGCGUUGAUCCAAACGCAUCGACCUGUUUGGUAGCCUUGAGCAGAGGCGUUUUUCCAUCCACGUUAUAGGAAAACCCUGCUUCCAACAGAAAUUUUGGAGUGAAUUAUUGAGGGGCUAAAAAAUGUGAGGGCGCAUUUCAAUGCCCACUUGAGCCCUGUUCUUCGUAUAACUCUUUGUUUUCCGGGGCUCAUGUGGAAAUAGAGGUACGCCUUAGAGUCAAAGAGGUGACGAAUUCAGCAACACGUAUCCAGGGGUGCAGAAAGUUCACGUGCCAACGGUCGAUCUCAAGCAUUUCGGAACUUAGCGCGAUUCGCAAGUCUUGAGUCGAGAGCCGAGACUGGAGAUCGGGUUUCGCUGCGAGCUCGAGGAGACACCGUGAGUCUUGAAGUAUAUCUACAGUUUUGCAGGGGCUUUCGCGAUCGUUUUUCACGAAGAGGUCAAAGUUUCGGAAAUUUUCUUUUGGAAGAUGAGGUCCCUUUUCACAGAUCUCCGGUUACAAUUCGACGUAUUUCUGCCAGACAGAAGUAUGUGCAUUAUGACAUGAGCCCUGUUAUUCAGAUAUUCUUAUGGGUCUCAGGCAUAGAGUACAUAGAGUCGUAAUGUAAGUGGGAGAGCUGGCGCCACUUUUAAGCAUUUUCCAUGUCCCGAACUCCGAGACUCCUGUGUUACGCCGGGUCACUUUUCGAUACAUAUCGAUUGUUUGCGAUACACGGGUACCCGGCCAUCCGAUGACAACAACAACAACAACAACAACAACAACAACAACACACAACAACAACAACAACAACAACAACAACAACAACAACAACAACAACAACAACAACAACAACAACAACAACAACAACAAAGGAGAUAGGAAUUACCAUGUAUUCCACACCGCCAUUUUGGAUCGAAAAUGUGUCGAAAAAGCGACCCGAACUCGGCGCACACCGGGCUCGGAACUCGUCGAACAGAACAUGGCGCCAGCCCUCCCAUUUACAUUACGACUCUAUGUACUCUAUGGUCUCAGGGCUCAUGUCUUAAUGCACAUAGUUCCGUUUGGCAGAAAAUCAGAAAUACGUCCAAUUGUGAAGCAGAAAACUUUCUCGCAUGUCUACAACAGUGAAAAAGAGCUUGGUUCUCUUCCGAUGACUCAAAGAUUUCAACGUGGGAGUAGAAAAAUUGGAUGGGGCGAAACGCGUGAUACAACUAUUUCGACUUUCAAGAAGAUGAAAUUGCAUAUCCACAAAAUGAAAAUAACAAGAACUUGUUUCGGCUCUGACUUCGUGACUUUAACGCAAGAGCAGAAAAGUUGGAUUGGGCAAAACGCGUGAGACAACUAUUUCGACUUCAAAAUAGGUACCGUUGCGUAUCCACAAAAUGAAGGAGAAUCUCGCUUCGUCUGACUCAGAGACUUUAACGCAGUAGUAGAAAAGUUGGAUGGGCCGAAACGCGUGAUACAACUAUUUCAAACAUUCAAUUAUUUUGAAAUAAAAUUGCAGAUUCACGAUAUGCAGGAAAACAAGAACUCUUUUCGACUGACUUAGAAACUUCAACGCUGGAGCUGAAAAGUUAGAUGGGGCAAAACGCAUGAUACAACUAUUUCAAACAUUCAAUUAUUUUAAGAUAAAAUUGCAGAUUCGCGAUAUGAAGGAAAUCAUGGUUUUCAUUUUUUCCCAACUAAUUAACCUGCUACUUUUUGGUGAAAAUUACUGCGAGCGCGCGAUGGCAUAGUGGGCUGAAUCCCUUGUUGCUCAAAACUGCGUAGGCCGAGGAGGUUUCUACACCCCUGGACAUAUCUCGUGCAUUGUUCUAAACACCCGUCCAAUUUAUGUUUUCAAAGUAGAGCAAUUCAUCAUUAUUUCAUGAUAUUUGUGCAGAAUAUUUUUUGUGCCGCCUAAUGAUAAAAAAUUGAAAAAAAAAAAAAUAAACAAAUACAAUUUGAAAAAUCGUCUAAUUAUAGUAGUUCGAGGUUCGUGUAUUAUUGAACCUUUGCUGGCGAUUUAUUUUAUGCGAUGGAACUGAUGGAAGACGAUGUCUCAGAAUAUCUUGAAAAUUAAUUUCAUGUCCAAAAAUUCUUUAGAGGGUAUUUGAGUUUUGGGGCUCAGACGGCCUCACUCAAGUGAUGCUCUUAUAUAGCGCUGAGGUCUGGCUGCUGCUGUUUCCGAAUUUGGCAAACAUUCUGCAAUUUAUGCUCAUUCUCUUAUUAAACACAAACCCCCUUGCACCUCCCAGGUAACAAUAGUAACAGUUCAAAAUUGCAAUUUCACAACAGUUUUUACACUGUUACUUUUGUGCACUUUUUCAUCGAAAAAUUUGCUCUAGUACAACAGUUGAAAAACCAACGGAAAAGAGAAGUCCUUUGCGACUAUAAUCACUGAAAAAUUUUUCUUACAUACUUAAAAAUACCAGUGGAAAAUUUAUAAUUUAGUCAUGUUUUCUGAAAAUAUAACACAAAUUUAACUAGUGUUAUACACCGAUCGAAAAGGAACUAUUAUUGCAAUAAAAACAUACUUAGAUUUGAAAUAAAACGACGGUUUAAAAUUCUCAAUCAAAAUCACUUACUU
Molecule: long non-coding RNA, 4740 nt
Filed under: Bemisia tabaci
Lineage: Eukaryota; Metazoa; Arthropoda; Insecta; Hemiptera; Aleyrodidae
Description: lncRNA ENSSSA3NGG001935
Source: RNAcentral